RNAcentral lists this long non-coding RNA (458 nucleotides) under Amborella trichopoda. RNAcentral describes it as "long non-coding RNA (ATRI_LNC001900)". The record is from RNAcentral. Lineage: Eukaryota; Viridiplantae; Streptophyta; Magnoliopsida; Amborellales; Amborellaceae.
CGUAUAUAGUAGGGGAAUUUUAUAUAAGGAUAUGGUUUUUACGAGUCAUAGGUAGGACUCAUAGGUAGAAAUUGCAUCCCAUAUUUGUAAUCCCUUUUUUAGAUGGAUUUCAAACCUAAUUUUUUUAGGUAUAUAUAAUAUCUGAAUGUCUAAAAAAAAGAAAUUUUAAAAACUUCUGGUUUAAAACCACCAAUAACACUAGAAGUUCCAGACCGCCCAUUUUAAUGAAUCAAAGUGGUCUAGAACAACUAGUUCUGAAUUGCACAUUACAGUCGUGAACUAAUGGUUCCAAACUGCACAAUCAAAAUGAUUAAGAACCUCAUAAUUUGGCAUAUAAGUGGAGUUUUCCCUAAAGGCCCAUACAUAUAUCACUCAAAUAAUAAAUCAAAGUAGUUUAGAACUACUAAUCUCAAAAUGUAGUAUCCGAAUGACCCAAACCAAGGGACAUUCUGGAAAAU